Arvicola amphibius (Eurasian water vole) is the source of this 130-nucleotide small nucleolar RNA. RefSeq annotates it as small nucleolar RNA SNORA70. NCBI's taxonomy places the organism in Eukaryota, Metazoa, Chordata, Mammalia, Rodentia, Cricetidae. The transcript has a single exon. The record is from RefSeq and is a predicted model, not a curated record.
AUGUACCCUGUACAUUUUUCACUUUUUAAAGUAUAAUGUCCAAUGAACAAUGGCUGAAGACAGUAGGUUCGUGGGUGCUAUGUGCAGCUUGCUACUUAUUUAAGUUGUCUUAGACGCCCUGGAGAUAGGC